Molecule: ribosomal RNA, 305 nt
Filed under: uncultured bacterium
Lineage: Bacteria
Description: bacterial SSU rRNA
Rfam family: Bacterial small subunit ribosomal RNA
Source: RNAcentral
ACCCUACGGGACGCAGCAGUGGGGAAUAUUGCACAAUGGGGGAAACCCUGAUGCAGCAACGCCGCGUGAGUAAAGAAGGUUUUCGGAUUGUAAAGCUCUGUUAGCAGUUAAUAGGAAGGACGGUACCUUCAGAGGAAGCCACGGCUAACUACGUGCCAGCAGCCGCGGUAAUACGUAGGUGGCAAGCGUUGUUCGGAAUAACUGGGCGUCAAGGAUGCGUAGGCGGAUAAACAAGUUAUAUGUUAAAUAUAUAGGCUUAACCUGUAGAAAGCAUAUAAAACUGUUUAACUAGAGUGCAGGAGAGG